CAGUAAAGACUUUUCAUUCCAUCACAGAAGACCUGCAGGUGGCUAGUGGUGUCACUGAGGGAAAGAAUGCAUUUGGCUGGUGAGCUUUGUUGCCCCAUUGCACAUCCUCUCCAUGCCAGUUGCAGCAGAGGGCUGCUAGGCCUCUCCUCUGCCCUGGGACCUUCAGCAUCUGCUGUUCCUCAGGAGCCAUGUUUCUUAAAAAAGCAGCCAAAGAAAAUAGGGCUUGCCAAGCUGAUGUGGGGCACAUGGCAUGAGGUGCAGUCAAGGCACUGGUGUUGGCUGUGAGGAGCUGCCCUUUGUUGUCCUGAUGGGAGAGAGAAGUAGAGAUAGUCUGGAACAUGCAGAGUUGUGUCAGGUAUUCUGUUGUGCUUCUGUCUUUGCUGCCUGAAGAGAUGUAGCUUGGCUUGGUUUACUGCUUUCUGAAAAUGGCUGCUUUCUUUCCCCCUGUAACAAUAAUGUUCUUCAUAAAAUUAAGUUUGCCAGGAUAGUUUUGUCAGAUUCAUCUAGACCUUGGAAUCUCUGAGAUGUUUAUUAUGCAGGCUGCUGGGGCAAGCAUGGUUUGUUGUAAUGUCUAAUCUUAAAAAUACUCUGAGAAGAGUCAUUUU
RNAcentral lists this long non-coding RNA (605 nucleotides) under Phasianus colchicus (ring-necked pheasant). RNAcentral's name for it is "lncRNA (ENSPCLG00000002664.1)". Lineage: Eukaryota; Metazoa; Chordata; Aves; Galliformes; Phasianidae. The record is from RNAcentral.